UUCAAUGUUUUCCAGCACCCAACAUAACUUGUAAGGAUUUGAGUGGUAAUGAAACACAUUUUACUGGAAGUGAAGUUGGUUUUCUCAAGCCCAUAUCUUGCCGAAAUGUGCUUGUUAAAGUUUUGCACUGUGGGAUUUUGCGGAAUUGGGAGCCUAAUUGAUUUCGUCCUUAUUUCAAUGCAGAUCGUCGGCCCUUCGGAUGGGAGUAGUUACAUUAUAGACUAUUAUGGAACCAGACUCACGAGACUCAGCGUUACUAAUGAGACAUUUAGAAAAACACAGUUGUAUCCAUGAGUGUUUGAAAGAGGAACAGAUUUGAGCCUCCCUGAUUUCAAUCAAGAGCCCUGUGUGUGGAAUUCCAGAUUUCCUUUUCCUUUAGUAUCACUUUAUGGGUUCUAGAUGAUGUUUGACAUGUGCUCAACCUUGAUUUGUUGAUUUAGUUAGAGUAUACUAUUCCUAGAUUUAUUUAAUAGUCUUUCUUAAAAUCAGUAUACUAUGUUUCGAGGGCUUCUGUCUCUAUGAGACAGCUAGUCUAUCACUUUGUUACUAUUGUAUUACUGUCAUGUCCUUUACACGUCACUUGUCAUUUUUAUUUGUGAAAAAUAAAAAGAUAACUUAUUCAC
RNAcentral lists this long non-coding RNA (623 nucleotides) under Rattus norvegicus (Norway rat). RNAcentral describes it as "long non-coding RNA NONRATT023403". Lineage: Eukaryota; Metazoa; Chordata; Mammalia; Rodentia; Muridae. The record is from RNAcentral.